RNAcentral lists this ribosomal RNA (118 nucleotides) under Sphingomicrobium sp. Its description in RNAcentral is "partial 16S ribosomal RNA". It matches the Rfam family "Bacterial small subunit ribosomal RNA", at positions 1 to 130 of the family's 1533-position model. RNAcentral also lists the same sequence under 1 other name. Lineage: Bacteria; Pseudomonadati; Pseudomonadota; Alphaproteobacteria; Sphingomonadales; Sphingomicrobiaceae. The record is from RNAcentral.
CAACUUGAGAGUUUGAUUCUGGCUCAGAACGAACGCUGGCGGCAUGCCUAACACAUGCAAGUCGAACGAGACCUUCGGGUCUAGUGGCGCACGGGUGCGUAACGCGUGGGAAUCUGCC